GGCGAUACUGAUAGGUGAUAGGGGAGCCUCGCCUCCGGCAGUCCGGCGCCGCCGCGGGGAUCACCCAACUCCACCCCCACUGCCUCCUCCUCCCUCUCCCCACCACGACCGUCCCACCACCGCUCCGUCCACGCCGCCGUAACCUCGCCCCCACGCGCUCGUUUGCCACGCUGGUUCUCGCGUCCACAUCCGCGCGCUCCAGCCGUUCGACGAAACGCCACCGAGCCACUGACGCGUCCGCUCCACGCGCGCUCGCGCUUCCAGCUUCCUCCGCCGUUCCCGGAGAGCCUAAGCCGGGAGGGGAGGCCACCGAUCCAUGUCCGUCGCGAAGCGCUACGUGCUGCGCCUCUUCAUCUCGCUCAAGUACGUGACGGCCAACGUGGUGGACCGGCAGAGCGGCCGCAUCGUGACGACCGCCUCGACUGCAGAGCGGCCCCUGCGGGAGGGGCUGGAGUGCGGUCGCGCCUGCAACGCCAAGGCGGCGGCCGCCGUCGGCGAGGUGCUCGCCAUGCGGCUCAAGGUGGACGGCCUCGCGCGGGAGCCCAUACACGCCGACGCGGCGAAGGAGGUCGCCAAGAAGGGGUUCAAGAACCAGACCAAGGUCUGGGCCAUCCUCAACGCGCUGCGCAACCACGGUGUCAACCUCCACAUCCACGACGAUGGGGACCACAGGCGGCACGUCUGAAGCAAUCAUCAGUUCACCAGUUCUUAUAUGCUUUGAGCUGAUUCAAAGCACUAUCCAGCAGAGCCUUCUUACUGCUGUUGAUCACUUUCCUUGACUGUGCUCUUAUGAUCAUGCUGACCUACUGGUGGCGCUAGAGCCCAGGACAUCUCAUCUUGUAAUGGUGGAGCUGAGGGUGUAGUGUACCAAGCUCUUGAACUGCUUCCUAGGACCACUACCAUUUUCUGCAACAAGUGGGACAAAGUAGAGUGUUAGUUUCAGUUAUGGAAAUUAUGGUGAAAACAUGAAAUUGGAAUCUCUUUUAACUUCCUGGACUGCUAAAAUAUGACUAAUUGUUCAGAUUCAGCGUUUGUCAACAUGGGGUUUUCAGUCAAAUUCGUAUUAAUUUUUGGCAAAUCUGUGUCACGCACUGUUCAUUAUGCCCCCUUACAGUUUCCAGCGGAAAUUAAAGUAUAUCAAAAGACAUUCAUCUGGAAACUCGAAUUACCUGGUUGUGAUUCUCAAUUGCUGGAUCAGGAUUGACAACUU
Molecule: RNA transcript, 1210 nt
Organism: Panicum hallii
Lineage: Eukaryota; Viridiplantae; Streptophyta; Magnoliopsida; Poales; Poaceae
Exons: 3
Source: RefSeq, a predicted model, not a curated record